Molecule: unclassified non-coding RNA, 255 nt
Filed under: Hevea brasiliensis (rubber tree)
Lineage: Eukaryota; Viridiplantae; Streptophyta; Magnoliopsida; Malpighiales; Euphorbiaceae
Source: RNAcentral
AAUGCACCAGGACUUGAUGGAAAUGUGAGGUUUACAAUGGCCCAGACAGCAGCUGUACGCAGUCGGCUGUCAUUACUCCGUAGGAACUUGAUUAUAAAAGAUUGAUUUUCAUUGUCCACUUGUGGAAGAAGUUGUUGCAUAACUGCUUCCUUAUGAAACUCAUUUCCACUGGCCACAUUGCCAAGCACAUACAUUCCCUGUAUGCCAAUUUCAGCUUUUGAAGUGCUCUCUAAUUGCUUUCUAACAGCAUCUAAU